Molecule: ribosomal RNA, 389 nt
Filed under: Escherichia coli
Lineage: Bacteria; Pseudomonadati; Pseudomonadota; Gammaproteobacteria; Enterobacterales; Enterobacteriaceae
Description: partial 23S ribosomal RNA
Rfam family: Bacterial large subunit ribosomal RNA
Source: RNAcentral
CAACGUUAAUCGGGGCAGGGUGAGUCGACCCCUAAGGCGAGGCCGAAAGGCGUAGUCGAUGGGAAACAGGUUAAUAUUCCUGUACUUGGUGUUACUGCGAAGGGGGGACGGAGAAGGCUAUGUUGGCCGGGCGACGGUUGUCCCGGUUUAAGCGUGUAGGCUGGUUUUCCAGGCAAAUCCGGAAAAUCAAGGCUGAGGCGUGAUGACGAGGCACUACGGUGCUGAAGCAACAAAUGCCCUGCUUCCAGGAAAAGCCUCUAAGCAUCAGGUAACAUCAAAUCGUACCCCAAACCGACACAGGUGGUCAGGUAGAGAAUACCAAGGCGCUUGAGAGAACUCGGGUGAAGGAACUAGGCAAAAUGGUGCCGUAACUUCGGGAGAAGGCACGC